RNAcentral lists this ribosomal RNA (475 nucleotides) under uncultured bacterium. RNAcentral's name for it is "bacterial SSU rRNA". It matches the Rfam family "Bacterial small subunit ribosomal RNA", at positions 335 to 799 of the family's 1533-position model. The record is from RNAcentral.
ACUCCUACGGGAGGCAGCAGUGGGGAAUAUUGCACAAUGGGGCGCAAGCCUGAUGCAGCCAUGCCGCGUGUAUGAAGAAGGCCUUCGGGUUGUAAAGUACUUUCAGCAGUGAGGAAGGUGGGUAUGUUAAUAGCAUACUCAUUUGACGUUAGCUGCAGAAGAAGCACCGGCUAACUCCGUGCCAGCAGCCGCGGUAAUACGGAGGGUGCGAGCGUUAAUCGGAAUUACUGGGCGUAAAGCGCAUGCAGGUGGUUUGUUAAGUCAGAUGUGAAAGCCCGGGGCUCAACCUCGGAAUUGCAUUUGAAACUGGCAAACUAGAGUACUGUAGAGGGGGGUAGAAUUUCAGGUGUAGCGGUGAAAUGCGUAGAGAUCUGAAGGAAUACCGGUGGCGAAGGCGGCCCCCUGGACAGAUACUGACACUCAGAUGCGGAAAGCGUGGGGAGCAAACAGGAUUAGAUACCCCCGGUAGGCGUAG